ACCGAGUAUCGAACGCAAUGGUAACGAAAUAAGUUGACACCGCGUCUCGUCAAAACAUGUUCAAUUCGAAUUUACUCGGAAUUACACGUUCAACGAGCAUUUGCUGUGAAACCUGAUUAAAGGAAAAUUACUGUAGACACCUGAUAGUGAUUUGUACAGAAACGAGCUCCGGCAGGAAUGAUGGCCUCUUUUGAAAUGAAGAUUUCAUGCCUUUCUCCUACUGGGACUACAACUAACUUUGGACCUGGUCACUCGCAGAUACAGCAUGAAGUGUGCCCUCUUGAUGUACAUGGGGAUGGGAGUGAUACAGAAGGGGGACUAAUUGGAAGAACUGCUGCUGCUGGUGGUGGUGCUGGACUGUCUUGGAUCUGUUGCUUAACCGACUUGAUAUUCUUCUGUUUAAUAUGGAAGCAACACACACACACUCUGGCAUAUAUUGCACAGAAAAUAAUGAUCAGAUGGUGCCCUCCCUAUCAGAGUGGUGAUCACUGACCUAUAUUUCUUUGAAAUCCUGGAUCUGUGUUUUGGUUUUACUCUCCAUGGACAGUUGAAACAGAGAAAGAAUUAGGGACCACUCCUUGGCAUAUCUGAAAUAUUUAUGUCAUAUACAUGUAAUUAAAAUAUACAAUUUGGGUUGGAUGAAAAUCUUAUCUUCAUGUUAAAACCCAUUAGCCUAGGUUAUUUUUCCUAAAAUCUAAUUAUAAAUCAAUUAACUUGUUAAUUAAUGCUUGGUGAAUCAAUUAAUAAAUUGUAUUCAAAAACUUGGAAUUAUUUUUUUUCCACUAAUAAACUGAAAAUGUGUAUC
Molecule: long non-coding RNA, 805 nt
Organism: Ostrea edulis (European flat oyster)
Lineage: Eukaryota; Metazoa; Mollusca; Bivalvia; Ostreida; Ostreidae
Exons: 2
Source: RefSeq, a predicted model, not a curated record